Molecule: transfer RNA, 76 nt
Filed under: Salmonella enterica subsp. enterica
Lineage: Bacteria; Pseudomonadati; Pseudomonadota; Gammaproteobacteria; Enterobacterales; Enterobacteriaceae
Description: tRNA-Ala(tgc)
Rfam family: tRNA
About the family: Transfer RNA (tRNA) molecules are approximately 80 nucleotides in length. Their secondary structure includes four short double-helical elements and three loops (D, anti-codon, and T loops). Further hydrogen bonds mediate the characteristic L-shaped molecular structure. tRNAs have two regions of fundamental functional importance: the anti-codon, which is responsible for specific mRNA codon recognition, and the 3' end, to which the tRNAs corresponding amino acid is attached (by aminoacyl-tRNA synthetases). tRNAs cope with the degeneracy of the genetic code in two manners: having more than one tRNA (with a specific anti-codon) for a particular amino acid; and 'wobble' base-pairing, i.e. permitting non-standard base-pairing at the 3rd anti-codon position.
Source: RNAcentral
GGGGCUAUCAGCUCAGCUGGGAGGCGCCUGCUUUGCACGCAGGAGGUCUGCGGUUCGAUCCCGCAUAGCUUCACCA